This 530-nucleotide ribosomal RNA is filed under the name Enterobacter cloacae. RNAcentral's name for it is "bacterial LSU rRNA". It matches the Rfam family "Bacterial large subunit ribosomal RNA", at positions 593 to 1123 of the family's 2925-position model. Lineage: Bacteria; Pseudomonadati; Pseudomonadota; Gammaproteobacteria; Enterobacterales; Enterobacteriaceae. The record is from RNAcentral.
GUGACUGCGUACCUUUUGUAUAAUGGGUCAGCGACUUAUAUUCUGUAGCAAGGUUAACCGUAUAGGGGAGCCGAAGGGAAACCGAGUCUUAACUGGGCGUUAAGUUGCAGGGUAUAGACCCGAAACCCGGUGAUCUAGCCAUGGGCAGGUUGAAGGUUGGGUAACACUAACUGGAGGACCGAACCGACUAAUGUUGAAAAAUUAGCGGAUGACCUGUGGCUGGGGGUGAAAGGCCAAUCAAACCGGGAGAUAGCUGGUUCUCCCCGAAAGCUAUUUAGGUAGCGCCUCGUGAACUCAUCUUCGGGGGUAGAGCACUGUUUCGGCUAGGGGGCCAUCCCGGCUUACCAACCCGAUGCAAACUACGAAUACCGAAGAAUGUUAUCACGGGAGACACACGGCGGGUGCUAACGUCCGUCGUGAAGAGGGAAACAACCCAGACCGCCAGCUAAGGUCCCAAAGUCAUGGUUAAGUGGGAAACGAUGUGGGAAGGCACAGACAGCCAGGAUGUUGGCUUAGAAGCAGCCAUCAUU